RNAcentral lists this ribosomal RNA (491 nucleotides) under uncultured bacterium. RNAcentral's name for it is "partial 16S ribosomal RNA". It matches the Rfam family "Bacterial small subunit ribosomal RNA", at positions 29 to 506 of the family's 1533-position model. The record is from RNAcentral.
AGUGAACGCUGGCGGUAGGCCUAACACAUGCAAGUCGAACGGCAGCACAGUAAGAGCUUGCUCUUACGGGUGGCGAGUGGCGGACGGGAGAGGAAUACAUCGGAAUCUACUUUUUCGUGGGGGAUAACGUAGGGAAACUUACGCUAAUACCGCAUACGACCUACGGGUGAAAGCAGGGGAUCUUCGGACCUUGCGCGAUUGAAUGAGCCGAUGUCGGAUUAGCUAGUUGGCGGGGUAAAGGCCCACCAAGGCGACGAUCCGUAGCUGGUCUGAGAGGAUGAUCAGCCACACUGGAACUGAGACACGGUCCAGACUCCAACGGGAGGCAGCAGUGGGGAAUAUUGGACAAUGGGCGCAAGCCUGAUCCAGCCAUACCGCGUGGGUGAAGAAGGCCUUCGGGUUGUAAAGCCCUUUUGUUGGGAAAGAAAAGCAGCAGGUUAAUACCCCGCUGUUCUGACGGUACCCAAAGAAUAAGCACCGGCUAACUUCGU